UACGUAGGGUGCAAGCGUUAAUCGGAAUUACUGGGCGUAAAGCGUGUGUAGGCGGCUUCGCAAGUCGGAUGUGAAAGCCCCGGGCUCAACCCGGGAAGUGCACUCGAUACUGCGGAGCUAGAGUGUCGGAGAGGUUGGUGGAAUUCUCGGUGUAGAGGUGAAAUUCGUAGAGUAUCGAGAGGAACACCGGUGGCGAAGGCGGCCAACUGGACGAACACUGACGCUGAGACACGAAAGCGUGGGGAGCAAACAGG
Molecule: ribosomal RNA, 254 nt
Filed under: uncultured bacterium
Lineage: Bacteria
Description: partial 16S ribosomal RNA
Rfam family: Bacterial small subunit ribosomal RNA
Source: RNAcentral